RNAcentral lists this long non-coding RNA (1022 nucleotides) under Monodelphis domestica (gray short-tailed opossum). RNAcentral's name for it is "lncRNA (ENSMODG00000048324.1)". The record is from RNAcentral. Lineage: Eukaryota; Metazoa; Chordata; Mammalia; Didelphimorphia; Didelphidae.
CCCAUUAGCAUCCAUUAAUGUAAACUUUCCCACCGUGGUCACCAAUAGAAUGAAUAAUAAUUGGGUACUAAUUCUAUCACUUCCACUCCUGCUAUUUUCCAUUACUUCUGAGGUGAAACAGAUGACAGAUGAAGGCCAAUUUAACUGCCCUGAUGAACAGAGAUAUCUGCUGCCAUCAGAGCAGAAACUGGAUUAAAAAGGGAUAAAACUGUAAUUGAAUCCCCAUACCACUUGGGCUGCUUCUUGGUGAAUAAUAGCACAUUGACAACACCGUGGCUUUAUCACAGCCAAGCUUCACCUUGGAAAGCUGUGCAAGAUUUGAAACUGGCAGCCAAGUCCUGUCAAUUCUAUUUCCACAACGUCUCAGCCUCAUCACCUGUUCUCCUCUCAUAGGGCCACCAUGCUAGGUCAAGCCCUUAUUACCUCUCUUGACUGGACUAUUCUUUUUUUUUAAACAUUUUUAUUAAAACCCUUACCUGCUGUCUUAAAAAUUGAUAUCAAGAAUUGAUUCUGAGGCAGAAGAGCAGUAAAGGCUAGGCAAUGGGGGUUAAGUGACUUGUAGGGUCACACAGCUAGGGAGUUUCAGAAACUAGAUUUGAACCCAGAACCUUCUGUCUUCAGGCCUGGCUCUCUAUCCAUUGAGUUACAUAGUUGCUCCAUUGACCUAAUAUUCUAGUAUCCUUCUAAUUAAUCUCUUAGCUUUUUCCUUUCUUUUCUUACUAGUCUUUUUUCCCACAGAACAACAGAGUCAACUAGGUAGCAUGGUGGAUGAGAAUUGGCACUGGAACAAGGAAGGCCUGAGUUAAAAUCUGACCUUAGAAAUGUACUACUUGUAUGAACCUGGGAUCUCAAGCCAUUGCAUUCAAAGUUUCUCCUGGCUCUACCAUUCAUUCCCAAAGAAGUCAGCGGAAACCAGGAACAGGUAGAAGCUUUAAUAAGUUGAUGAUUUUUCCUUUCAUGUCUCGUUCAUUUCUGAAGACACCCUGUACCACUACCCUACCUCAUAAACCUCCCUUGUAACA